This 29-nucleotide non-coding RNA is filed under the name Homo sapiens (human). The record is from RNAcentral. Lineage: Eukaryota; Metazoa; Chordata; Mammalia; Primates; Hominidae.
UGGGAACGAGAAGACACUCAUGUAGGAGU